GGUGCUUAACAUCCACCUAGAGGAGCCUGUUCUAGAACCGAUAACCCCCGUUCAACCUCACCCUCCCUUGCUUUUCCCGCCUAUAUACCACCGUCGUCAGCUUACCCUGUGAAGGCCUAAUAGUAAGYAGAAUUGGCAUAGCCCAAAACGUCAGGUCGAGGUGUAGUGCAUGAGAGGGGAAGAAAUGGGCUACAUUYSCUAGUAGUAGCGAAUACGAAUGUUGCAUUGAAAUAUGCGACUGAAGGAGGAUUUAGCAGKAAGCAGAAAGCAGAGCGUCCCGCUGAAACUGGCCCUAAAGCGCG
This 302-nucleotide ribosomal RNA is filed under the name Xiphias gladius (swordfish). RNAcentral's name for it is "partial 12S ribosomal RNA". Lineage: Eukaryota; Metazoa; Chordata; Actinopteri; Istiophoriformes; Xiphiidae. The record is from RNAcentral.